This 465-nucleotide ribosomal RNA is filed under the name uncultured Klebsiella sp. Its description in RNAcentral is "bacterial SSU rRNA". It matches the Rfam family "Bacterial small subunit ribosomal RNA", at positions 338 to 795 of the family's 1533-position model. Lineage: Bacteria; Pseudomonadati; Pseudomonadota; Gammaproteobacteria; Enterobacterales; Enterobacteriaceae. The record is from RNAcentral.
CCUACGGGAGGCUGCAGUGGGGAAUAUUGCACAAUGGGCGCAAGCCUGAUGCAGCCAUGCCGCGUGUGUGAAGAAGGCCUUCGGGUUGUAAAGCACUUUCAGCGGGGAGGAAGGCGUUAAGGUUAAUAACCUUGUCGAUUGACGUUACCCGCAGAAGAAGCACCGGCUAACUCCGUGCCAGCAGCCGCGGUAAUACGGAGGGUGCAAGCGUUAAUCGGAAUUACUGGGCGUAAAGCGCACGCAGGCGGUCUGUCAAGUCGGAUGUGAAAUCCCCGGGCUCAACCUGGGAACUGCAUUCGAAACUGGCAGGCUAGAGUCUUGUAGAGGGGGGUAGAAUUCCAGGUGUAGCGGUGAAAUGCGUAGAGAUCUGGAGGAAUACCGGUGGCGAAGGCGGCCCCCUGGACAAAGACUGGCGCUCAGGUGCGAAAGCGUGGGGAGCAAACAGGAUUAGAUACCCGGGUAGUC